This 399-nucleotide ribosomal RNA is filed under the name Bruchidius terrenus. RNAcentral describes it as "partial 12S ribosomal RNA". Lineage: Eukaryota; Metazoa; Arthropoda; Insecta; Coleoptera; Chrysomelidae. The record is from RNAcentral.
UUAAGAGCGACGGGCGAUGUGUACAUAUUCUAGAGCUAUAAUCAUUUUAAAUAAAUAUAUUUAAUUACUAUCAAAUCCAAAUUCAAACUUCUUUCAAAAAAAAUUAUCCCUAAAUAAAUUAAAUGUAACCCAUCUCUUCUUAAAUAUAAGCUACACCUUGAUCUGAUUUAUUUUUUAAUAAAAACUUUUGAAUAUUAAAAUUCUAUUAAAAUAUUCAAUCUACGACGAUAUGUAAACUUAAAACUAAAGUAUAUAUAAUCGUGGACUAUCAAUUACAGGACAGGUUCCUCUGAAAAGACUAAAAUACCGCCAAAUUUUUUAAUUUUCAAGAAAAUAACUAAUACUAAUUUAGUUUAAUAAAUUUACAUUUACAAUAAUAGGGUAUCUAAUCCUAGUUUA